CUUAUGCGUUGUUGGGUAGGGGAGCGUUCUGUAAGCCUGUGAAGGUGUGCUGUGAGGCAUGCUGGAGGUAUCAGAAGUGCGAAUGCUGACAUAAGUAACGAUAAAGCGGGUGAAAAGCCCGCUCGCCGGAAGACCAAGGGUUCCUGUCCAACGUUAAUCGGGGCAGGGUGAGUCGACCCCUAAGGCGAGGCCGAAAGGCGUAGUCGAUGGGAAACAGGUUAAUAUUCCUGUACUUGGUGUUACUGCGAAGGGGGGACGGAGAAGGCUAUGUUGGCCGGGCGACGGUUGUCCCGGUUUAAGCGUGUAGGCUGGUUUUCCAGGCAAAUCCGGAAAACCAAGGCUGAGGCGUGAUGACGAGGCACUACGGUGCUGAAGCAACAAAUGCCCUGCUUCCAGGAAAAGCCUCUAAGCAUCAGGUAACAUCAAAUCGUACCCCAAACCGACACAGGUGGUCAGGUAGAGAAUACCAAGGCGCUUGAGAGAACUCGGGUGAAGGAACUAGGCAAAAUGGUGCCGUAACUUCGGGAGAAGGCACGCUGAUAUGUAGGUGAAGCGACUUGCUCGUGGAGCUGAAAUCAGUCGAAGAUACCAGCUGGCUGCAACUGUUUAUUAAAAACACAGCACUGUGCAAACACGAAAGUGGACAUAUACGGUGUGACGCCUGCCCGGUGCCGGAAGGUUAAUUGAUGGGGUUAGCGGUAACGCGAAGCUCUUGAUCGAAGCCCCGGUAAACGGCGGCCGUAACUAUAACGGUCCUAAGGUAGCGAAAUUCCUUGUCGGGUAAGUUCCGACCUGCACGAAUGGCGUAAUGAUGGCCAGGCUGUCUCCACCCGAGACUCAGUGAAAUUGAACUCGCUGUGAAGAUGCAGUGUACCCGCGGCAAGACGGAAAGACCCCGUGAACCUUUACUAUAGCUUGACACUGAACAUUGAGCCUUGAUGUGUAGGAUAGGUGGGAGGCUUUGAAGUGUGGACGCCAGUCUGCAUGGAGCCGACCUUGAAAUACCACCCUUUAAUGUUUGAUGUUCUAACGUUGGCCCGUAAUCCGGGUUGCGGACAGUGUCUGGUGGGUAGUUUGACUGGGGCGGUCUCCUCCUAAAGAGUAACGGAGGAGCACGAAGGUUGGCUAAUCCUGGUCGGACAUCAGGAGGUUAGUGCAAUGGCAUAAGCCAGCUUGACUGCGAGCGUGACGGCGCGAGCAGGUGCGAAAGCAGGUCAUAGUGAUCCGGUGGUUCUGAAUGGAAGGGCCAUCGCUCAACGGAUAAAAGGUACUCCGGGGAUAACAGGCUGAUACCGCCCAAGAGUUCAUAUCGACGGCGGUGUUUGGCACCUCGAUGUCGGCUCAUCACAUCCUGGGGCUGAAGUAGGUCCCAAGGGUAUGGCUGUUCGCCAUUUAAAGUGGUACGCGAGCUGGGUUUAGAACGUCGUGAGACAGUUCGGUCCCUAUCUGCCGUGGGCGCUGGAGAACUGAGGGGGGCUGCUCCUAGUACGAGAGGACCGGAGUGGACGCAUCACUGGUGUUCGGGUUGUCAUGCCAAUGGCACUGCCCGGUAGCUAAAUGCGGAAGAGAUAAGUGCUGAAAGCAUCUAAGCACGAAACUUGCCCCGAGAUGAGUUCUCCCUGAGACUUAGAGUCUCCUGAAGGAACGUUGAAGACGACGACGUUGAUAGGCCGGGUGUGUAAGCGCAGCGAUGCGUUGAGCUAACCGGUACUAAUGAACCGUGAGGCUUAACCUUACAACGCCGAAG
RNAcentral lists this ribosomal RNA (1747 nucleotides) under Escherichia coli. Its description in RNAcentral is "partial 23S ribosomal RNA". It matches the Rfam family "Bacterial large subunit ribosomal RNA", at positions 1213 to 2925 of the family's 2925-position model. The record is from RNAcentral. Lineage: Bacteria; Pseudomonadati; Pseudomonadota; Gammaproteobacteria; Enterobacterales; Enterobacteriaceae.